UCUCCGUUGGUGAACCAGCGGAGGGAUCAUUAUAGAGUUCUAUAACUCCCAAACCCAUGUGAACAUACCUUACGUUGCCUCGGCAGGUCGUGCCUACCCCGUAGCGUCCUACCCUGUAGGACCUACCCGGUAGACGCGGGUAAGCCUGCCGGCGGCCCACGAAACUCUGUUUAGUAUUGAAUUCUGAACCUAUAACUAAAUAAGUUAAAACUUUCAACAACGGAUCUCUUGGUUCUG
This 237-nucleotide unclassified non-coding RNA is filed under the name plant metagenome. Its description in RNAcentral is "partial contains small subunit ribosomal RNA, internal transcribed spacer 1, and 5.8S ribosomal RNA". The record is from RNAcentral.